CUUACAAGGUUGUUCCAACAAGUCCGAUAUAGUCAUGAUAUAACAAUAUUGUUACAACCUUAUGUGAUCAAACUUGUAACAUUCUUGUUAUAUGAUCAUGACUGUAUCAGACUUGUUAUGACAACCUUGUAAC
Molecule: non-coding RNA, 133 nt
Organism: Paramuricea clavata
Lineage: Eukaryota; Metazoa; Cnidaria; Anthozoa; Malacalcyonacea; Plexauridae
Source: the annotation of a GenBank genome assembly